AAUACACAUUGUUCUACCAAAGACAGCAGGUGCCUUGCGGCGUAAAGUUUAACUGCCUGCCGAGGAAAGAGCAUACGGGCGAACAGCCUUAUUGUAUGUAUGUUACCUUCCUCGCUUUGAGGAAGGUUUUCUUUAUU
This 137-nucleotide small RNA is filed under the name pig gut metagenome. RNAcentral describes it as "Ribosomal protein L10 leader". It matches the Rfam family "Ribosomal protein L10 leader". From Rfam's summary of the family: This family is a putative r-protein leader autoregulatory structure found in B. subtilis and other low-GC Gram-positive bacteria. The record is from RNAcentral.